Molecule: long non-coding RNA, 2570 nt
Filed under: Canis lupus familiaris (dog)
Lineage: Eukaryota; Metazoa; Chordata; Mammalia; Carnivora; Canidae
Description: lncRNA (ENSCAFG00000054670.1, ENSCAFG00845009990.1)
Source: RNAcentral
AUUAUUCCUAUUUGCAGAAAUAUGGCUAUUGUUCCUUUAGUUUUAAAGAUUCACUAGGUCUAUGUGUCUAAAUAAUCGCCCAAGAUUAUGAAUGCAGGCAAAAUAUUGAAAGAGUAAUCUCCUAUCCAAAAUAUAAUAUUAGAGAAAGCAUUUUCUUUCAUUGAAGCAUAUCUUAAAAUCCCUCCUCUUUCUUAAAGCCUCUCCAGACUAAUUGAAUGUAGAAGACUAACAAAUUUUAUGGCUUCCUACUACUUACUACCACCCUUUCCUAUAUAAUUAUUCCCCUGAGGGUUAUAAUGCUAUUAAAUCAUCUAUUUGACACAUGCACUUUUUAUUUUAACAUUGAUUAAGCUGUCUGCAUCUUCCUUGUGUUUAUUUGAAUCAAUGCUGCCCGUCUACUUUGCACCCAACCCAGGACCACCUCUAGAUAAGGCACUUUCCAAAGCUAUUUGGUAUAAAUGAUGAUGAUGACAAAAAUUAUUUGUUAAAGUCAAGAUUUCUUAUCAUCUAGAAACCAGUUUUAUAGGGAGGUAAAUGUAUUUUUUCUUAAAAGCAAAGACCUUAUUUAUGGGGUUAAACACUUCUUGACGGAAAUCCUGGAACACAAAAAGGAGCUAUCACAGCUUGCACACUGGAGCAUAUAUAUGUGCAGAGCAAGCAUAACAGGGUUCCUGAAUGGAGAAACAGACUCAGUAAAUGGGACUCUUCUCAUUCUUCUGAAAGGAUAAACUACUAACUAGCUCUUUCAUUCUCAGAGAAACAGUAUUUAACUCACCUUCAAAUAGGUUAUAUGAAGGAAAAACACUGUGGAUUCAUUUUCCCUAAGGGGGAACAGCCAUGAACCAGAUAAUAAUUCCUAGCAGGGCAAGUAACAAACCAAUAGUGAACCAAUUAUGUAUGUCUAAGUUAUAUUAUGUAUACUUUUGCGGGAUAUGUGUAGAUUGCAGUACGGAUCACUAACCAUUACUUUUAUUUGUAACAAUCGGCAAAGAUAUUAAUGAUUUCCAUAGGACCCAGUAUUAGAUUCUAAAGUUAGUUGUAUUUUAUACAAAUAUAGUAAUGUAAAAGAACUUACACUAUUUUAGUUUUCAUAUAUAUGAGAAAUUCAGUAUGAAAUGCAAUAUGUAUAGCUACACAGUAGAUUCUGUACAAAUACCACAGUAUAAAUUAUAUAAUUUGUGAAAAUACAGAGCUGUCUAAAAUUUGAUGAGGAGAAUAAAGAACAAUACAAGUUAGGAAACUCCAUAAAUGAUGCAUUUUAUAUGUUCUUUGUAUUUCAACAAAAACUUGCUAUCAAAACAUAUUACCUAUCAAAUAUAAAAAUUAAAACAUUCAUGAAAUGCCUUAAAACUAAAUGUUUACUUAGGGACAAAUAUGGAUUUUUCAGGAAUAUUUAUAAAUAUAUAAAUCAAACGUGAAUCACAUUAUUUGACAACCAAGUCUAUUGCUGUCAAUAGUGUUCCCACAAUUUUGUUUCUAAAUUAAAAAGCCCUUGGGUUUUCCAGCCAUAGUAAGAUCCAGGCACACAAUGCCCACAAUCUAGAUAUGGGAAUUAACUUGGGAGGAAUUAUUAGAUGGCUCUGAUCUCUUGAUAAUUCAAUAAAUGUGGAAGGGUAGAAAUAUGGAAAACUCAGGGCAGGAAAAUCAUUAGAAAAACAUCAAAUAAUGAUGCUCACGUAGUUGAGCUUGGAAGCCUUCCCAACUGUGUAUUAUUCUCUGUUGUCUUCUCCAGGCAAUCAAGGAGUUCACUGUGCUCUCCAAAGAUACUCUCAGCUCCAGAACGAUCAACCCUCCACCUCUAAUCAUCGUCAUUAACUAAGGCAGCUCUCCAUUAGAUGGUCACUUAAGGAGACUCUGGCACUAAUGUAUAAUGAAUAAUGUCAUGAUCCUUAUAUCUGAUCAGAGUUUUCAUCAAAUAAUUAUCUACUUGGAGAAAAAAAAAGGAGAAAAUAUUUAGAAGCAGAGGAGACUCUAGCACUCUUUGCUAUUUAUUCUGGAUGAGAUGCAACUCUACCCUCAAAAUAAGCCACCAAUGAAUGUAACUCCUCCAUGACAGCAUGGAGGGUCGAUCAGACUGGAAUCCAUAUUAGGUAGGUAGAAAACUACUAUGCAAAGCUGAACAUCUUCAAAAGCUGCAAACUGCAUGUUUUAAAAAGAUUUUUAAUUUAUUUUUUGGUGAGAGAUACGGAGAGCAAGGCAGAGACAUAGGCAGAGGGAGAAGCAGGCUCCCCACAGGGAGCCUGAUGCAGAACUUGAUCCCAGGACCCUGGGAUCACAACGUGAGCCAAAGGCAGACACUCAACUGGCUGAGCCAUCCGGUGCUCCUGCAAAUCACAUUUUUAAGCAAAAAUCUUCCAAGUUCUAUUCAUCAGAAGCUGAUAAAAUAGGGGCACCUGGGAAGUAACGGUUUGCAGCCCAUAAGGUCAGAGCACAGAAGAAUUAGAGAAGGCACGCAUCUCUAAAUUUCUCUGAUUCUUCAAUGAAAGAGUCAAAUUGAAUCUUGCUCUUUCCUGGUCCUGUGAAUAUAUUAUUCAUAAGAUUAUUUAUUUAUUUUUUAAAAGAUUUUAUUU